Molecule: ribosomal RNA, 999 nt
Filed under: Pseudochrobactrum asaccharolyticum
Lineage: Bacteria; Pseudomonadati; Pseudomonadota; Alphaproteobacteria; Hyphomicrobiales; Brucellaceae
Description: bacterial SSU rRNA
Rfam family: Bacterial small subunit ribosomal RNA
Source: RNAcentral
CUGAUCCAGCCAUGCCGCGUGAGUGAUGAAGGCCCUAGGGUUGUAAAGCUCUUUCACCGGUGAAGAUAAUGACGGUAACCGGAUAAGAAGCCCCGGCUAACUUCGUGCCAUCAGCCGCGGUAAUACUAAGGGGGCUAGCGUUGUUCGGAUUUACUGGGCGUAAAGCGCACGUAGGCGGACUUUUAAGUCAGGGGUGAAAUCCCGGGGCUCAACCCCGGAACUGCCUUUGAUACUGGAAGUCUUGACUAUGGAAAAGGUAAGUGGAUUUGCGAGUGUACAGGUGAUAUUCAUAUAUAUUCGCAGGAACACCAGUGGCGAAGGCUGCUUACUGGUCCAUUACUGACGCUGAGGUGCGAAAGCGAGGGGAGCAAACAAGAUUAUAUACCCUGGUAGUCCACGCCGUACACGAUCAAUGUUAGCCGUCGGGGUGAUUACACUUCGGUGGCGCAGCUAACGCAGUAAAACAUUCCGCCUGGGGAGUACGGUCGCAAGAUUAAAACUCAAAGGAAUUGACGGGGGCCCGCACAAGCGGUGGAGCAUGUGGUUUAAUUUGAAGCAACGCGCAGAACCUUACCAGCUCUUGACAUGCAGUAUGAAUUCUAGAGAGACACUUUCAGCCUUUCGGGGCGUAGGACACAGGUGCGCAUGGUGUCGUCAGCUCGUGUCGUGAGAUGUUGGGUUAAGUCCCGCAACGAGCGCAACCCUCGCCUUUAGUUGCCAUCAUUUAGUUGGGCACUCUAAAGGGACUGCCAGUGUUAAGUUGGAGGAAGGUGGGGAUGACGUCAAGUCCUCAUGGCCCUUACGGGCUGGGUUACCCACGUGUUACAAUGGUGGUGACAGGGGGCAGCGAGAUCGGGAGGUCGAGUUAAUCUCCAAAAACCAUCUCAGUUCGGAUUGCACUCUGCAACUCGAGUGCAUGAAGUUGGAAUCGCUAGUAAUCGCGGAUCAGAAUGCCGCGGUGAAUACGUUCCCGGGCCUUGUACACACCGCCCGUCACAC